GGCUCCAUAAUGUAGUGGUUAACAUGUCUGCUUUAUACGUAGAAGGUCCUGGGUUCGCGCCCCAGGUGGAGCCA
Molecule: non-coding RNA, 74 nt
Organism: Pteropus alecto (black flying fox)
Lineage: Eukaryota; Metazoa; Chordata; Mammalia; Chiroptera; Pteropodidae
Source: Rfam